UGGGGAAUAUUGGACAAUGGGCGAAAGCCUGAUCCAGCCAUGCCGCGUGUGUGAAGAAGGUCUUCGGAUUGUAAAGCACUUUAAGUUGGGAGGAAGGGCAUUAACCUAAUACGUUAGUGUUUUGACGUUACCGACAGAAUAAGCACCGGCUAACUCUGUGCCAGCAGCCGCGGUAAUACAGAGGGUGCAAGCGUUAAUCGGAAUUACUGGGCGUAAAGCGCGCGUAGGUGGUUUGUUAAGUUGGAUGUGAAAUCCCCGGGCUCAAACUGGGAACUGCAUUCAAAACUGACUGACUAGAGUAUGGUAGAGGGUGGUGGAAUUUCCUGUGUAGCGGUGAAAUGCGUAGAUAUAGGAAGGAACACCAGUGGCGAAGGCGACCACCUGGACUAAUACUGACACUGGGGUGCGAAAGCGUGGGGAGCAAACA
RNAcentral lists this ribosomal RNA (427 nucleotides) under uncultured bacterium. Its description in RNAcentral is "partial 16S ribosomal RNA". It matches the Rfam family "Bacterial small subunit ribosomal RNA", at positions 355 to 774 of the family's 1533-position model. The record is from RNAcentral.